GAUGAACGCUGGCUACAGGCUUAACACAUGCAAGUCGUGGGGAAACGGCAUUAUGUGCUUGCACAUUCUGGACGUCGACCGGCGCACGGGUGAGUAUCGCGUAUCCAACCUGCCCCUUACUCGGGGAUACCCCGUUGAAAGACGGCCUAAUACCCGAUGUGUUUCAUUGACGGCAUCCGAUAUGAAACAAAGGUUUUCCGGUAAGGGAUGGGGAUGCGUCUGAUUAGCUUGUUGGCGGGGCAACGGCCCACCAAGGCGACGAUCAGUAGGGGUUCUGAGAGGAAGGUCCCCCACAUUGGAACUGAGACACGGUCCAAACUCCUACGGGAGGCAGCAGUGAGGAAUAUUGGUCAAUGGACGCAAGUCUGAACCAGCCAAGUAGCGUGCAGGAUGACGGCCCUAUGGGUUGUAAACUGCUUUUAUGUGGGAAUAAAGUGGCGCACGUGUGCGCCAUUGCAUGUACCUCAUGAAUAAGGACCGGCUAAUUCCGUGCCAGCAGCCGCGGUAAUACGGAAGGUCCGGGCGUUAUCCGGAUUUAUUGGGUUUAAAGGGAGUGUAGGCGGUCUGUUAAGCGUGUUGUGAAAUUUAGGUGCUCAACAUUUAACUUGCAGCGCGAACUGUCAGACUUGAGUACACGCAGCGCAGGCGGAAUUCAUGGUGUAGCGGUGAAAUGCUUAGAUAUCAUGAGGAACUCCGAUCGCGAAGGCAGCCUGCGGGAGUGUUACUGACGCUUAAGCUCGAAGGUGCGGGUAUCGAACAGG
This 761-nucleotide ribosomal RNA is filed under the name Prevotella nigrescens. RNAcentral describes it as "bacterial SSU rRNA". It matches the Rfam family "Bacterial small subunit ribosomal RNA", at positions 28 to 776 of the family's 1533-position model. The record is from RNAcentral. Lineage: Bacteria; Pseudomonadati; Bacteroidota; Bacteroidia; Bacteroidales; Prevotellaceae.